Molecule: ribosomal RNA, 722 nt
Filed under: Levilactobacillus brevis
Lineage: Bacteria; Bacillati; Bacillota; Bacilli; Lactobacillales; Lactobacillaceae
Description: bacterial SSU rRNA
Rfam family: Bacterial small subunit ribosomal RNA
Source: RNAcentral
UCGAUUAGAGUUUGAUCCUGGCUCAGGACGAACGCUGGCGGCAUGCCUAAUACAUGCAAGUCGAACGAGCUUCCGUUGAAUGACGUGCUUGCACUGAUUUUAACAAUGAAGCGAGUGGCGAACUGGUGAGUAACACGUGGGAAAUCUGCCCAGAAGCAGGGGAUAACACUUGGAAACAGGUGCUAAUACCGUAUAACAACAAAAUCCGCAUGGAUUUUGUUUGAAAGGUGGCUUCGGCUAUCACUUCUGGAUGAUCCCGCGGCGUAUUAGUUAGUUGGUGAGGUAGAGGCCCACCAAGACGAUGAUACGUAGCCGACCUGAGAGGGUAAUCGGCCACAUUGGGACUGAGACACGGCCCAAACUCCUACGGGAGGCAGCAGUAGGGAAUCUUCCACAAUGGACGAAAGUCUGAUGGAGCAAUGCCGCGUGAGUGAAGAAGGGUUUCGGCUCGUAAAACUCUGUUGUUAAAGAAGAACACCUUUGAGAGUAACUGUUCAAGGGUUGACGGUAUUUAACCAGAAAGCCACGGCUAACUACGUGCCAGCAGCCGCGGUAAUACGUAGGUGGCAAGCGUUGUCCGGAUUUAUUGGGCGUAAAGCGAGCGCAGGCGGUUUUUUAAGUCUGAUGUGAAAGCCUUCGGCUUAACCGGAGAAGUGCAUCGGAAACUGGGAGACUUGAGUGCAGAAGAGGACAGUGGAACUCCAUGUGUAGCGGUGGAAUGC